Molecule: ribosomal RNA, 1211 nt
Filed under: uncultured fungus
Lineage: Eukaryota; Fungi
Description: eukaryotic LSU rRNA
Rfam family: Eukaryotic large subunit ribosomal RNA (bases 583-1211)
Source: RNAcentral
AAGUCGUAACAAGGUCUCCGUAGGUGAACCUGCGGAGGGAUCAUUAAAGAGCAAGGGUCCUCGUGGCCCGAAACUCCCAACCCGUGAAUACGUACCUCUGUUGCUUUGGCAGGCCGAGGGCGAGCCCACCACCCGAGUCUCGGGCGGUGGGGGAGUCCCCACCGGUCGUGGUCACCCUCGCGGUGGUCUCGCCCGGCGAGCGCCCGCCGGAAGCCCCCACCAAAACCUAUCGAAACAGUGAAGUCUGAGCGAUAUAAUAAUAGCUAAAAACUUUCAACAACGGAUCUCUUGGUUCCAGCAUCGAUGAAGAACGCAGCGAAAUGCGAUAACUAAUGUGAAUUGCAGAAUUCAGUGAAUCAUCGAGUCUUUGAACGCACAUUGCGCCCUCUGGUAUUCCGGGGGGCAUGCCUGUCCGAGCGUCAUUACACCACUCAAGCUCUGCUUGGUAUUGGGAACUCGCCCCUCCACCGGGGCGUGCCCGAAAGCUAGCGGCGACGUGCCCGGCACCCAAGCGCAUUAAACAUACGUUCGCUUGAGGCUCGCCUGGCUCGUCAGCCGGUCAACCACCCAAUCUUCAAUGAUUGACCUCGGAUCAGGUAGGGAUACCCGCUGAACUUAAGCAUAUCAAUAAGCGGAGGAAAAGAAACCAACAGGGAUUGCCUCAGUAACGGCGAGUGAAGCGGCAACAGCUCAAAUUUGAAAUCUGGCCGCAAGGUCCGAGUUGUAAUUUGCAGAGGAUGCCUCGGGUGAGAUGCCGGUCUAUGUCCCCUGGAACGGGGCGUCACAGAGGGUGAUAAUCCCGUAUGUGAUCGGCCGUCGAUCCCGUGUGAGGCUCCUUCGACGAGUCGAGUUGUUUGGGAAUGCAGCUCAAAAUGGGUGGUAAAUUUCAUCUAAAGCUAAAUACCGGCUGGAGACCGAUAGCGCACAAGUAGAGUGAUCGAAAGAUGAAAAGCACUUUGGAAAGAGAGUUAAACAGCACGUGAAAUUGUUGAAAGGGAAGCGCUUGCAGCCAGACUCGCUCGCGGGUGAUCAACCGUCCCUCGGGGCGGUGCACUCUCCCGCGACCGGGCCAGCAUCGGUUUUGGCGGCCGGACAAAGGCCCAGGGAACGUAGCUCCUCUCGGGGAGUGUUAUAGCCCUGGGUGCAAUGCGGCCAGCCGGGACCGAGGACCGCGCUUUUGCUAGGAUGCUGGCGUAAUGGCUGUCAGCGAC